This 253-nucleotide ribosomal RNA is filed under the name uncultured bacterium. Its description in RNAcentral is "partial 16S ribosomal RNA". It matches the Rfam family "Bacterial small subunit ribosomal RNA", at positions 524 to 776 of the family's 1533-position model. The record is from RNAcentral.
UACGUAGGGCGCAAGCGUUGUCCGGAAUUAUUGGGCGUAAAGCGCACGUAGGCGGCGAUUCAAGUCAGAGGUGAAAGCCCGGGGCUCAACCCCGGAACUGCCUUUGAAACUAGAUCGCUAGAAUCUUGGAGAGGUCAGUGGAAUUCCGAGUGUAGAGGUGAAAUUCGUAGAUAUUCGGAAGAACACCAGUGGCGAAGGCGACUGACUGGACAAGUAUUGACGCUGAGGUGCGAAAGCGUGGGGAGCAAACAGG